UUAAAUUGUGUUGGAUGUUGUUUAGACUUAAAAAAAAUGAACAAUUGUCCGCAAGUUCGAAGUUCGGACAAGGAGUAUUAGCCCGCUUAGUGGCGUAAGUGCCACCGUGUUGCUCAAUGGCAGCAAUUACGUUAAGACACAUGAACUCUUAGAUAAAUUCAAUAAUAAACGAAGUGAAUUGAAAUAUCUUAGUAACUUCAGGAAAAUAAAUCAAACGAGAUUCUAUGAUUAGUGUGAAUGAAAGUAGAAAAGCCUAGAAUAGAUUUCAUUUAUAGAUAAGUACUAAAUGAAAGAUAAUUUAAAUAAGUAAAACGGGCAAAACCUGUUUGAAUAUAAAGGGGAACCUUCCUCUAAGGCUAAAUAUAAUAUAUAAGCGAGAGCGCAGAGUACUGUGAAGGAAAGGUUUGAAAUAGUGGUCUUACAAGCAGCUCGAGUAAAGUUUAAAUAAAAAGUAAGAGCGUACCUUUUGCAUAAUGGGUCAGCGAGUUAAUAUUAGAUGCGAGCAGUAAUGCCUAGAUAAACCAAUUUUGAAAGAAUGAAUUAGUAUCUAAAAUUAGACCCGAAGCCUGGUGAUCUUACUACAGUCAGGGUUAUAAAAGCCCGAACGGUUUAUCGUUGUAAAGAUAUCCGAAGAACUGUGGUAAGUUAGUGAAAGACAACACUGACUAGGAUAGCUGGUUUUCUGCGAAACCUAUAUAAGUAGGUAAUUCAAGGCACAUCAUAGCAGGUACAGAACUGUGAUCUCAGGCAACUUAUAUUUUAUUAUAUUAUAGGUUAUUCCCGUUAAGCUAUAAUAUUUAAGGUAAUUUUGCAUAUAUCGGGCAAUCGUGAAGAUUUUAUCGGUGAGUAUUCGCACUCGGAAGGGCAAUGGUGAAUAUUGAAUAAUCGGACAUAGUACGAUAAGGUUGUAUGUCUAAAGGGAAACAGCCCAGAACAAGAGUUAAGGUUCCAAAAUUAUUGUUAAGUGAAAUUAAGGAAGUUUCUAUCUAAUACGACUAGGAAAUAGGCUUAGAAGCGGUCCAUUUUUUGAAGAUCUCGUAACAGAGCACUGGUUUAAUAAAUAACGCAUGUUUGCUUUAAUUUAUAUUGAUAGUUGCACCGAAAAUUCAACGGAUCUAAACAAUAUACCGACACCUUGUCCAUAUUUAUUAAUAAUUUAUUAUUAUAUUUAAUGGGGUAGCAGAACGUUGGGGAAAUAUAGCAUAGCACAUCAGUUUUAUUCUUUUUAAGAAUAAAGUGUUAUUUAGAUUAGUCAUAAAUUAACCGAGUUUUAGACAACUAAAUAGAAUAUAACCCAAGUGAGAAUGCUGACAUGAGUAACGAAAAAGGGGAAACCCUCGCCUAAAGCUUAUGGUUUUAAUAAAGUAACGGCCUCUAAGUUUACCGACCUAAAGGAUUAAACGAUGAGCAAAUCAAAGUCUGAGUAGUAACAACCUACUUUUAGUGAAGUAGGUUCUGGAAAAACCUCUGACUCGGCUAUUUUACGUACAUGAAAAUGUUAAUGAAACAGAUAACGAAAAUAGUGAAAAAAAAAUAGAGGUAACAUUACAUUAUCCAUAAACUCAAACAGAUGAGUUAAACCUUUAAAGAAUUAAGUACAUAUAUUUAUAUAACCUUAGCAAUAAACUAAAACAGAUGAGCAAUGGGCAAUAUAUGUACGUUUUUUAUUUUUUUUUCAAAAGUUAAAACCGUACCUAAAAACUACCCCAAGUAAGCUAGUAGAGAAUACGAAGGCGUUUGAGUGAACAAUCAUUAAGGAACUCGGCAAACUAACUACCGUAACUUCGGGAUAAGGAGAGCCAUUCCUCCUAAUUAAUAUUAGGUAAAGAAUAGGAAGCAUGGAAUAGUGUUGUGCGACUGUUUAAUUAAAACAAAGCACUCUGCAGUAAGAUAAUAAAUCAAAGUAUUGAGUGUGAUUUCUGCCCGAUGUCGGCUGGUUAACGGAUUUGCUAAGUUGACUAAUAUAAGCUUGGCUUUGAAGGAAACCCCGAUCAAUGGCGGCCUUACCUAUAAGGGUCCUAAGGUAGCGGAAUACCCUGGCCGUUAAAUGCGGUCUUGCAUGAAUGAUUUAACGAUGCAACAGCUGUCUCAAUGAUUGGCUCAGUGAAAUUGGAAUAACUGUGCAGAUACAGUUUACCUCUAGUUAGACGAGAAGACCCUAUGCAGCUUUACUGUUGCUAGUUAUUGAAUAUGAUACUGGUAAUUUUAGUUAUAAGGUAGUGUUCGCUCAAUUGAAACACCUUUAUUUAGCUUAUCAUAUUGGUAGAUUUUCUACGUGAAACUCUCAAGGCACUCUUGCUUAGGCAAGAUGGUUGAGACAAUCAUUAACCUUCAAAAAAGGAACAAUUGCUAGGAGGCAGUUUAUGCGGGGCACAGAUCCCAUAAAAAGUACCUGGGUGUAUCCAAAGUUAAUUUUGUAAAAUUGUCAUAAUUAAGUUAUGACAAUCAAAUAUACUUUUUUGGUAUAUUUUUUUUAUUUUUAGUAUGUUAUUUGGUAUAGCUUAAGCUAUAACUAAUCCAGCUAUAUAUCUAUUGAGUUAGAACUAAUAUAUUUUUUUAUCUAAGUAAGAUUUUCUCUAUAUGGAAAAUAGAUGUAAUUAAAACAUUGCUAAAUGGAUUGACUACAAUGUUUUUUGUUUUAUUAUUAGUAUUCUUAAUUUAUAAUAAUUAAGUCAGUGUUUUAUAAUCUGCUUCGAUGAUUUAUGUCGACACCCACUAAUAAUAUAAUUAUGUUUAUUACUUGUCAAGUUUAAUGGCUUAAUCUUGCUUUACUGUCUGACUUACACGUCUAUCAGUCGCGUAAGCGGGGCAUAUGAUCACAAGAUGCAGAAAGGAAAGGUCUUGGAUUUUUGAAAAAGCUACGCUAGGGAUAACAGGCUAAUUGCGCCAGGAAGUACAAAUUGAGUGCGCAGUUUGGCACCUCGAUGUCGGCUUAACUUAUCCACAUGAAUGC
RNAcentral lists this ribosomal RNA (2953 nucleotides) under Diplocarpon rosae. RNAcentral's name for it is "bacterial LSU rRNA". It matches the Rfam family "Bacterial large subunit ribosomal RNA", at positions 1 to 2560 of the family's 2925-position model. The record is from RNAcentral. Lineage: Eukaryota; Fungi; Ascomycota; Leotiomycetes; Helotiales; Drepanopezizaceae.